RNAcentral lists this ribosomal RNA (1388 nucleotides) under Escherichia coli. RNAcentral describes it as "bacterial SSU rRNA". It matches the Rfam family "Bacterial small subunit ribosomal RNA". The record is from RNAcentral. Lineage: Bacteria; Pseudomonadati; Pseudomonadota; Gammaproteobacteria; Enterobacterales; Enterobacteriaceae.
GAUAACUACUGGAAACGGUAGCUAAUACCGCAUAAUGUCGCAAGACCAAAGAGGGGGACCUUCGGGCCUCUUGCCAUCGGAUGUGCCCAGAUGGGAUUAGCUUGUUGGUGGGGUAACGGCUCACCAAGGCGACGAUCCCUAGCUGGUCUGAGAGGAUGACCAGCCACACUGGAACUGAGACACGGUCCAGACUCCUACGGGAGGCAGCAGUGGGGAAUAUUGCACAAUGGGCGCAAGCCUGAUGCAGCCAUGCCGCGUGUAUGAAGAAGGCCUUCGGGUUGUAAAGUACUUUCAGCGGGGAGGAAGGGAGUAAAGUUAAUACCUUUGCUCAUUGACGUUACCCGCAGAAGAAGCACCGGCUAACUCCGUGCCAGCAGCCGCGGUAAUACGGAGGGUGCAAGCGUUAAUCGGAAUUACUGGGCGUAAAGCGCACGCAGGCGGUUUGUUAAGUCAGAUGUGAAAUCCCCGGGCUCAACCUGGGAACUGCAUCUGAUACUGGCAAGCUUGAGUCUCGUAGAGGGGGGUAGAAUUCCAGGUGUAGCGGUGAAAUGCGUAGAGAUCUGGAGGAAUACCGGUGGCGAAGGCGGCCCCCUGGACGAAGACUGACGCUCAGGUGCGAAAGCGUGGGGAGCAAACAGGAUUAGAUACCCUGGUAGUCCACGCCGUAAACGAUGUCGACUUGGAGGUUGUGCCCUUGAGGCGUGGCUUCCGGAGCUAACGCGUUAAGUCGACCGCCUGGGGAGUACGGCCGCAAGGUUAAAACUCAAAUGAAUUGACGGGGGCCCGCACAAGCGGUGGAGCAUGUGGUUUAAUUCGAUGCAACGCGAAGAACCUUACCUGGUCUUGACAUCCACGGAAGUUUUCAGAGAUGAGAAUGUGCCUUCGGGAACCGUGAGACAGGUGCUGCAUGGCUGUCGUCAGCUCGUGUUGUGAAAUGUUGGGUUAAGUCCCGCAACGAGCGCAACCCUUAUCCUUUGUUGCCAGCGGUCCGGCCGGGAACUCAAAGGAGACUGCCAGUGAUAAACUGGAGGAAGGUGGGGAUGACGUCAAGUCAUCAUGGCCCUUACGACCAGGGCUACACACGUGCUACAAUGGCGCAUACAAAGAGAAGCGACCUCGCGAGAGCAAGCGGACCUCAUAAAGUGCGUCGUAGUCCGGAUUGGAGUCUGCAACUCGACUCCAUGAAGUCGGAAUCGCUAGUAAUCGUGGAUCAGAAUGCCACGGUGAAUACGUUCCCGGGCCUUGUACACACCGCCCGUCACACCAUGGGAGUGGGUUGCAAAAGAAGUAGGUAGCUUAACCUUCGGGAGGGCGCUUACCACUUUGUGAUUCAUGACUGGGGUGAAGUCGUAACAAGGUAACCGUAGGGGAACCUGCGGUUGGAUCAC